This 93-nucleotide Y RNA is filed under the name Homo sapiens (human). Its description in RNAcentral is "scRNA-hY4_RNA". It matches the Rfam family "Y RNA". From Rfam's summary of the family: Y RNAs are components of the Ro ribonucleoprotein particle (Ro RNP), in association with Ro60 and La proteins. The Y RNAs and Ro60 and La proteins are well conserved, but the function of the Ro RNP is not known. Lineage: Eukaryota; Metazoa; Chordata; Mammalia; Primates; Hominidae. The record is from RNAcentral.
GGCUGGUCCGAUGGUAGUGGGUUAUCAGAACUUAUUAACAUUAGUGUCACUAAAGUUGGUAUACAACCCCCCACUGCUAAAUUUGACUGGCUU